This 1933-nucleotide long non-coding RNA is filed under the name Homo sapiens (human). Its description in RNAcentral is "HSALNT0403839". The record is from RNAcentral. Lineage: Eukaryota; Metazoa; Chordata; Mammalia; Primates; Hominidae.
GAAAAAGCGUGUAAAGCAAUGUCAGUGAUAACAAGCAAAAAUAGGACAGGGGAGAAAGCCAAGAGUCUUCAGACCACAAGAGAAGGAGAGAUUAAUUCUGGUAGGGAGGAAAAUCCACCUGGAUGGACAGCAGCAGAGGGAGGAGGAGGCAGGACAGACCAGAAGAGAGACAAUGAGGUUCUGAACCUAGAUGUUGGCCAAGGGAGCAGAGGAGGGCAGGUCAGGAGGCCCUCGCCCUGCAAUCACCCUUCCUGGGAGCCUUCACUUCACCUGUGAUCUCAAGACCUCUCCCUACUGCCUGACUCGCGCCGAGCUUAUGGAACAUCUUCCCUUGAGGGUCGCAGUCCAUUCGAUGAGCCCUUGUCACAGGUCCUGCUUCUGUGGGGAGCUCAAGCGCGGACACCCUUGGAACACUCCCCAAGUCUCUUCCUUCCCAUCCAGCACCACUUCCCUAAGUCACAGCUGCACCACCUCUCAUCUGGACUGCUCACAGCAGGUGGAGUCAGGAUCAAAAUAGCCAAAGAAAAAGUAAGAAUCCGUAUACAGGAAACAAAUAUGUGAUGAUGACCGGAGCAGCUCAGAAUCAGAACUUGAGCAAGACCUGGGCUGCUUUGAUUUUCUGAAGGUCUCAAAAUAUUAGGGGCAAAAAAGAAAAUAAAAAAAGAAAAAAAAGAAGGAAUACCAAAAGCAAGUUACAUAAAGUAUGAGAUAUAUUACAUGUUUCCAGUGAACAAGUGAACAGUUUGGCACGUCAAAGACACAACGUCAGAGCAUUUAGCCUCAAUUGGCGAUAACCUGAAAAGCCUGAAAAGCAAAGCCUUCUGGGAAUGUGAGCUCCAGUUCUGGGAUGAACCCUGAAAAGGACAGAGUGAGCCACACGUGGUGGCCGGACCAUGGGUAAGGGGUGAGCACUGCUGGGCUCCAUUCUGCUGGAAGGACGGACAAUCUCCUUCUGCACAAUAACUGGUGUGAGGGGGCCGGACGCUGUGAGGGUCAGGAAGGGGAGGGUCCACCCAAAGUAGGCUAAUGGAGCAGUUGGUGACCCCAUUUCCCCAGCUUUCAGCCAGAGAUAUCCCAGAUGUCAUGGGAGAGCCAUUGGAUGCUCUCAGCUCUGAAUUUUCAUGCCUCUGCCACGGUUAGCAUCAGAGCAGUGAUUUCCAUCCAACAUAGCAAAAAACUUUUCAUGGGAGACCAAAAGCUUGUGGCUUCAGAAUGAAUCCAGAAAAAAAAAAAAAUCCCUGUCAUGAGGGUGAAAGGAGCUGCCAGCCUCAACAGGGCUCCUUGGAGAAGACAUUUGAGACUUACAUUCCAGGCAAAGUGGCACUUCACAUUCUGGGUUCUGACCUUCUUGGAAUAAAUGUCUCCACCUGCGGGCAGAACUACCUGGCUCUCCUCCAUACCUGCUAUAUCAGAAUCUGGGUAGAGUUAGGGAGGGGUAGAGGUAUCCUAGGUAAUUUUUUUUAGGCACUAAGGCUGAGGUCCGUCGUUCUAAGCUUUGGGGUGGAGGUAGAUGGGGAAGAUGAUAGUAAGUUGCCAUUUCAUGGGUGCUGAUUCUUGAGGGCAGAGGAGUCCAUUUAAGUGACUGGGAAGGAGGAGGCUCACAUGCUGGCUUGGAUGGAGGGUGUGCCAUUUUGCUAAAUGUGAAGCAUAGAGAGAAGAAGCUUCUGGUGGUUGGUUGAGAAGACUGAGCCAGGCAGUAUCCCUGGAGGCUCAAACUAGUAACCGUUCCUGGGCCUUGUAUCAACCUGUUGCCUUGCCAUUUAUUCCAGUUACAUUUUGCUGUGCAACAAACCACCCCAAAAUGUAGUGGUUUAAACAACAAUCAUUUUAUUAUCUUUCACACUUACUGUGGGUCAUGAAUUCAGGAAAGGUUCAGCUGAGCAGUUCUGUCUUGGGGUCCAUCAUGUAGCUGUAGUCAGAAGGUAACUAGAAC